AAUAUACGCCCUUUGACCACUAUUACUUGUCCUAAUAUGAAUGUAUUCGGACAAAUUUUAGUGUCUAGAUACAUAUUAACAUAGGUAACAGUGGUCGGAGGGAGUACUUC
This 110-nucleotide microRNA precursor is filed under the name Olea europaea subsp. europaea. The record is from RNAcentral. Lineage: Eukaryota; Viridiplantae; Streptophyta; Magnoliopsida; Lamiales; Oleaceae.